CUCGUAAGUCCCUCAAUUUCUCAAAUCCCCCAAUUUAACCUGAUUUCACCUUGAUUCGAUCUUGUUUGCACCUUCUUGGCGAAACGUAAGCGUAGCCAAGCUAGUGACACUGUUCGUUGAUUCAAUGAAUGGAAGAAGAAGAGAAGCAGAUAACAUGUCUCAUGUCUGUGAUUGUUUGCGGUGGAAAGAGAUCUCUGUUUGAGACUUCUUCUCUUCCCUUCUCCAAGAAACUCUGUUCCUUGUCUCCCUCUCGUUUCUCCUCCUCUCUUCUUCUCGAUCACCUCGCCGCCAUUUUACCCGACAUGGAUAUUCACAUUCUUGAGCGAGGAAUCAACGAAUAUUGGAGGUGAUCUUUGAACCAGCUUCAUUAGAAUCCACCAAUCAAAAACCUGAAUUAUCUCUAGUCCAGGAAGAAGCAAAAGUUGCAGUACGGGAAGGGGAGGAUCAUCAGGGAAGGAGGAGGGAGUCCUGAACUUGGAUGGCACUGAGUGGGUUGAAUUAUUUAACAGGGAAAUGACGAAAUGCUUCAGACAUGAAAGUCGCUAAAGACCGCUUCAAGAGCCUUAAGCUUUGGAGAAGUUCGUCAAGGCUCGUGCUUGUGCUGACGCAGUGAUGCAAAGCAGUGUCCAACAGGAGAACCUGAUGCUGAGACUGCAGUUAGAAGCUAUUGUCGAGGAGAAUAGUUCACUCAAACGAGCUGUGGUGACGCAGCAGAAGCGGCAGAAAGACACCGAAGAUCAGAGUCAGGAGUUGCAGGGUUUGAUGCAGAUGGUUACUCAAUACCAGGAACAGCUGAAAACUCUGGAGGUGAACAAGUAUGCUCUCACGCUUCAUCUGAAACAAGCACUGCAGAACAACAGUUCCAUCCCUAGCUAGUACCAUCUUUUUUUAGGCAAAACUUAAAAAAAUACAUUAUACAUGUAAUGUAAUGUUUCAAGUGUAUUUUCUACCCAAAAAGUACAUAUUAAAGUUGCACAAACACAAAGAUUAUAAGAA
Molecule: long non-coding RNA, 996 nt
Organism: Brassica napus (rape)
Lineage: Eukaryota; Viridiplantae; Streptophyta; Magnoliopsida; Brassicales; Brassicaceae
Exons: 2
Source: RefSeq, a predicted model, not a curated record